Molecule: ribosomal RNA, 432 nt
Filed under: uncultured bacterium
Lineage: Bacteria
Description: partial 16S ribosomal RNA
Rfam family: Bacterial small subunit ribosomal RNA
Source: RNAcentral
AACGAACGCUGGCGGCAUGCCUAACACAUGCAGGUCGAACGAGACCUUCGGGUCUAGUGGCGCACGGGUGCGUAACGCGUGGGAACCUGCCCUUAGGUUCGGAAUAACUCCCCGAAAGGGGUGCUAAUACCGGAUAAUGUCUUCGGACCAAAGAUUUAUCGCCUUUGGAUGGGCCCGCGUUGGAUUAGCUAGUUGGUAGGGUAAAAGCCUACCAAGGCGACGAUCCAUAGCUGGUCUGAGAGGAUGAUCAGCCACACUGGGACUGAGACACGGCCCAGACUCCUACGGGAGGCAGCAGUGGGGAAUAUUGGACAAUGGGCGAAAGCCUGAUCCAGCAAUGCUGCGUGAGUGAUGAAGGCCUUAGGGUUGUAAAGCUCUUUUACCCGGGAUGAUAAUGACAGUACCGGGAGAAUAAGCUCCGGCUAACUCCGU